CAGGAUGAACGCNGGCGGCGUGCCUAAUACAUGCAAGUCGAGCGAACAGAUGAGAAGCUUGCUUCUNUGAUGUUAGCGGCGGACGGGUGAGUAACACGUGGGUAACCUACCUAUAAGACUGGGAUAACUCCGGGAAACCGGGGCUAAUACCGGAUAAUAUUUUGAACCGCAUGGUUCAAUAGUGAAAGACGGUUUCGGCUGUCACUUAUAGAUGGACCCGCGCCGUAUUAGCUAGUUGGUAAGGUAACGGCUUACCAAGGCGACGAUACGUAGCCGACCUGAGAGGGUGAUCGGCCACACUGGAACUGAGACACGGUCCAGACUCCUACGGGAGGCAGCAGUAGGGAAUCUUCCGCAAUGGGCGAAAGCCUGACGGAGCAACGCCGCGUGAGUGAUGAAGGUCUUCGGAUCGUAAAACUCUGUUGUUAGGGAAGAACAAAUUUGUUAGUAACUGAACAAGUCUUGAC
Molecule: ribosomal RNA, 467 nt
Filed under: Mammaliicoccus sciuri
Lineage: Bacteria; Bacillati; Bacillota; Bacilli; Caryophanales; Staphylococcaceae
Description: bacterial SSU rRNA
Rfam family: Bacterial small subunit ribosomal RNA
Source: RNAcentral